AGAAAUGCGUAUGCUACGUGGACUCCUCCAGGGUGUUUUGAGAAACAUAAGGUAGUGUGUUUCCAAUUAUCCCUGUUAUUGCAUAGACCCUGAUCUGACAGAUGCCAAGAUCAAGAUGUAGAAUUUUCAGCUCCUUCUUAAGCCUGGAUGGUGCUAUACUUCUCAGCAUGAGGAUAAUAGACUAAACUUCUGAAACAGAAUAUUUUAAAGAUGAGGACACUUCCAAACUGCCCUCAGAGGAACAUCAGCCAAAGGUCCAUGAUGGAGACAACCAAGCACAGCUUGGAGGAGGAAGCCAUGUUGUUGGAUGGCUUCAGUAAAUUUCAGGGCACAAUCAGUUACUCUGCAACGUUUAGUAAUCUUCAGCAUCUUCCAGUUUCUCCUUCUGUUUGCUUUUGGUGAUCUGUUACUGCACAAUAGUCAUUAAGUUCUGAACUUUAUCUCUGCUCACACUUAUACAUAUUCAAACAAGGAUCAUACUUUGUGUGCACAGCCUAGAAGACUUAAAGACUGUAAUUCCUGAAAAUAGGAACAUCUCUCAUUAGCUCAUUUUUCAAAGUUUUAACACUUCUUCAGCUCUAUCUAUCUAUACUCAUUUUUUAUAGAAUGCCUUAUAAAUUCAAUAUAAAUCAAAUGACUACAUGUUUAUGUAAAUAUGCCACAAGUUUAUAAGGAAGGGCAGAUACUUUGAACACUUUUAAAAAUUACUUCUUUCUGCAAUAACCUAGUAUCACAAAGAACUG
Long non-coding RNA from Mus musculus (house mouse), 743 nucleotides. RefSeq annotates it as predicted gene, 54208. NCBI's taxonomy places the organism in Eukaryota, Metazoa, Chordata, Mammalia, Rodentia, Muridae. The transcript has 3 exons. The record is from RefSeq and is a predicted model, not a curated record.